Molecule: ribosomal RNA, 253 nt
Filed under: uncultured bacterium
Lineage: Bacteria
Description: partial 16S ribosomal RNA
Rfam family: Bacterial small subunit ribosomal RNA
Source: RNAcentral
UACGGAAGGGGCUAGCGUUGUUCGGAAUUACUGGGCGUAAAGAGCGCGUAGGCGGCUUACCAAGUUGGGGGUGAAAUCCCGGAGCUCAACUCCGGAACUGCCUUCAAAGCUGGUAGGCUCGAGUCCGGAAGAGGCGAGUGGAAUUCCCAGUGUAGAGGUGAAAUUCGUAGAUAUUGGGAAGAACACCGGUGGCGAAGGCGGCGCCCUGGUCCCGUACUGACGCUGAGACGCGAAAGCGUGGGGAGCAAACAGG